This 1579-nucleotide long non-coding RNA is filed under the name Marmota monax (woodchuck). The record is from RNAcentral. Lineage: Eukaryota; Metazoa; Chordata; Mammalia; Rodentia; Sciuridae.
GAAAAGAUAUCUUUUUUCAGCCUCCAACCUAUGACCAUGACACUUACCUCUAUGUAUCUAAGUUCUUUUUAAUUUCUUUCAGUAACAUUUUGCAUUUCUCUAUCUUGCAAUCUUGUGCCUCCUUUGAUAAACUGCUUCUAAAUAUUUGAGAAGUUUGUUGAACUUUAGCUCAGGUCAAUUAUUAUUUGAAGUGUUAUUCUUUUAAUAAGAAGUUAUAUUUAGAUACUAUAAUCUGGGUAUGAGUGUUCAUUGCUAAUGAUUUGGUCAGACUUUCUAAGUGAACAUAACUAAGGAGUAUUCACUUUUUUAUAAAAAUGAAACAUCAUCUCUUACAUGUGUUAUUUAUUAUAAUUCAGAUUCAUGGGAUUUUUACUUUAAAUAAAUCCCCCCUUGUAUACCCAUUUCUCUUAUCUCAUGUCAAAAAUACCAUUUUAUAAAGUCACUAAUAUUUUUGCACACUCUCUUCAUCCCACAAUACACACAGUUUCCAAAUGACAGUACUAAUCAAAACAAACAAAAAGCAAUAGCUUAAGAUUAAAAAAAUUCAGUUCUUUUUGUCCUUGAGUUUAAUACCCCUAAAGGUGUAUAGUGGAAUUACCUGUUGACAUAAUCCUCUAUGUGGUUAUGCCAUUGACUCAUGAUACUAUUAGUUCCUGAAGUCUUGAAAGUUAGGCAAUCCCUGAUGUGAGAAGAAAUUGAAUCUGAAUAAUAAAUUAAAAUUAGGAUCAAAUGAAACCAGAUUAAUUAAAAUAAAUUAAAAUUAGGAUCAAAUGACACCAGAUUACUGUUAGAGCUAUAUUUACUUGUGGAGAGCAUGUCAGCAACAUAAAAUUCUUCUCUGAGCGUAGGGCCAUGCUUUCCAACAUAUAUGUAUCCCAUUUCAUCUCUUAAUAGUGAAGAGCUCUCAACAAUACCUUCUUUGUUGAUGGACUCACAGAUCUUAUUCACCUUUUGUAAUAGGUGACCAGAUUAAAAUAUGUAUCUAUCCAGUUUUUCUUAUUAAGUUAGAAAAUGUUUAUACAUUUUUCGAUCCUUUAAUUUACUUAGCACAUAGUGCAAAAUGUGUUUUAUCUCAUGUACCCACUCUGAUCUGCUGAUAGUGUCUGCUCAGGAACCCUGAAUUGAGAAAGAACCUGAGCAAAAGUCUAUCAUUGAAAUGCUAACUUCAGGACAGUAGGGGUAUUUUUCUGUUUAGUUUAAUGUCAUAGCCUUGGUUUGGUUUUAGUGUAUAGAAUAGUGCUUGGCACAUGCAAAUCAGUUAAAACUUGUUUAGAAUGAAGUGAAUAAGGUUCUCUGCCAUGGGUAUGCAUUAGGGAGCUAAAUGUGGAUUUAUUUAGAAUAUUAUUGCUAUCAUGCAUUCAUAUGUUUGUUUAUCCAGUCAUUCAGAAAUACAUUUUGAGCAUUUCAGUUUAGAUAUUUUUAUCAUAUGCUAGUUAUUGUGUUAGGCCCAGAAGUUUAAUGCAAAUUAAAGUCUUUGUCACUUAGAUUCUUAGGUUCUUAGAUAUGUCUAUGUUUCCUACUGUAUGAUAGAUUGUAUUCCAGAAAGGUUUCAUAGAUUGCAAUGCACUGAAAUUCCCCA